This 274-nucleotide ribosomal RNA is filed under the name uncultured bacterium. Its description in RNAcentral is "partial 16S ribosomal RNA". It matches the Rfam family "Bacterial small subunit ribosomal RNA", at positions 523 to 796 of the family's 1533-position model. The record is from RNAcentral.
AUACGGAGGGGGCUAGCGUUGUUCGGAAUUACUGGGCGUAAAGCGCGCGUAGGCGGAUUAGUCAGUUGGGGGUGAAAGCCCGGAGCUCAACUCCGGAAUUGCCUUCAAUACUGCUAGUCUUGAGUUCGAGAGGGGGUGGUGGAAUUCCUAGUGUAGAGGUGAAAUUCGUAGAUAUUAGGAAGAACACCAGUGGCGAAGGCGGCCACCUGGCUCGAUACUGACGCUGAGGUGCGAAAGCGUGGGGAGCAAACAGGAUUAGAUACCCCAGUAGUCC